CUCAGACUUUUGUUUACUUUCCAGGCAGUGUAGCCUGGGAGGCUCCAGGAGGGUAACCCAUAAUGCAGGGCAGAAGAACAUGACUCUUCAGGGUUCAUUGACUCAGAGACCAGGGUCAGCGCUAAGCCAUAGCUAUAGCUAGGGAGGAAGUUGGAACCGCCAGAUCUCCUUGUGUCAUCACUGCAUCUCAGUGCUAAAGGCGUCACUACAGACCCUGGUUCGAUUCCAGGCUGUAUCACAACCGGCAGUGAUUGGGAGUCCAUAGGGCGAGGCAAAAUUGGCCCAGUGUCGUCCGGAGUAUCCUCCCUCAUGACAGGCCUGCUGCUGCAUGCCUCUACAAAGACAAUGUAUGUACCCCAGUCCUAAAACUGAGCAUGAUUGCCGCUGCAGUGGAGCUGAUUGACGGAUGAAUGAAUGGAUGGAUGGAGAGGGAAGGCAGAGCCUCAGGGAAGGUUAUGUUACAAAGAGCUGAUAGGCAGAGCAGGCAACAGAUGGCACACAGACAGCAGAGUUGGGGACAGAUAUGCAGGGACAGACUGGCAGAGACAGGGAGUCUCAGGUAAGUUUGUUGAGUCUUUGUUUGGCAACAUUAUAAAAGGUUCUCAAUUUUUUUAACUUGUAAAAUAGGAACAUAAUGGAAAAUGCCAUGGAUACCCCCACUCUCAACUUAAACUGGUGACUGAACUAAGAUUUGUUAAAGGCAAUGGUAUUGCUGUUGUGAUUAGUUGUGUAGUUUUCGGUACCGGUAGUUAGGAGUACGUCAAACACCUUAUUUCUAUGGUUCCUCAAUAUACAUUUACCAUAUUAAAUGUAGGCUAUGUGUUACAGCACUACUUUUGGUGUCCCCCUCAGGAAUUGCUCUUGAGAAAAUGUAAUGUAAUUGUCCCCUCCAAAGUUGAUAUCAGAUUUUCGCCCCUGCUUUUAUCAUAUCUUCUGUCCAAUCUAAAGACAUUUUGAUAACUGAACAUCCUCCAGAUGUGUGACAUGCUGGAAAAGGGACCAGAUGGUUAAAAGUCAUAGGGAAGUUUGAGAUUAGGCCCUCAACUGUCUGGUCUAUGCACGAUACAUGUUGGAAUAAAAUUGACUGUUCAAUAAUGGAAAAUCAUACAGUAUGUAUUCGAAAGGUUAUUCUCAUAUUGAACAUGCGGAUUUUGCAAAUGUGUCUUGAGUAGGAAUUUAACACCAAAAGAGAGGGACGGCAGAGAUAAUAUAUUUUUGCCACUCCACACACCGGGGUCAUGUUCAUUAUGGCACACUGUGGCAAAAAGGUUUUCAACAGAAAAUGAGCAUUUCAAAAUGUACAGGUCAAGUCAUACAGCCCAGUACAUCACUGGGGCCGAACUCAGUCCAUCUAGGACCACUAUAUCAGGCGGUGUGAAAGGAAGGCCCCGGAAAAUUGUUAGACUCCAGUCACCCAAGCCAUAGUCUGACACCAACCGGUUCAUGAACAGCUUCUAUCCCCAAGCCAUAAGACUGCUAAAUAGCUAACAAAAUGGCUACACUGACUAUCUGCAUUGACCCUUCUACUGCUUGAGUUUUUUUGCACUCACACUCACUGACACUCACUGACACUCACUCACUCACUGACACUCACUCACUCACUCACUCACUCACUCACUCACUCACUCACUCACUCACUCACUCACUCACUCACUCACUCACUCACUCACUCACUCACUCACUCACUCACUCACUCACUGACACUCACUCACUCACUGACACUCACUCACUCACUGACACUCACUCACUCACUGACACUCACUCACUCACCACUCACUCACUCACUCACUCACUCACUCACUCACUCACUCACUCACUCACUCACUCACUCACUCACUCACUCACAUCAUUUGCUCAAACACACACAGCACGCACAUACAUUCAUAUUGAUUCUACACACACACACACACACACACACACACACACACACACACACACACACACACACACACACACACACACAC
RNAcentral lists this long non-coding RNA (1964 nucleotides) under Salmo salar (Atlantic salmon). RNAcentral describes it as "lncRNA (ENSSSAG00000099236.1)". The record is from RNAcentral. Lineage: Eukaryota; Metazoa; Chordata; Actinopteri; Salmoniformes; Salmonidae.